CUACGGGAGGCACCAGUGCGGAAUAUUGCACAAUGGGGGGAACCCUGAUGCAGCAACGCCGCGUGGAGGAUGACGCAUUUCGGUGUGUAAACUCCUUUUAUAUGUCAAGAAAAUGACGGUAGCAUAUGAAUAAGCACCGGCUAACUCCGUGCCAGCAGCCGCGGUAAUACGGAGGGUGCGAGCGUUACUCGGAAUCACUGGGCGUAAAGGACGCGUAGGCGGGUUGGAAAGUCAGGUGUGAAAUCCUACAGCUUAACUGUAGAACUGCACUUGAAACUUCUAAUCUAGAGUAUGGGAGGGGGAGAUGGAAUUAGUGGUGUAGGGGUAAAAUCCGUAGAUAUCACUAGGAAUACCUAAAGCGAAGGCGAUCUCCUGGAACAUUACUGACGCUAAGGCGUGAAAGCGUGGGGAGCAAACAGGAUUAGAUACCCCGGUAGUC
RNAcentral lists this ribosomal RNA (439 nucleotides) under uncultured bacterium. RNAcentral describes it as "partial 16S ribosomal RNA". It matches the Rfam family "Bacterial small subunit ribosomal RNA", at positions 339 to 795 of the family's 1533-position model. The record is from RNAcentral.